UCUCCUGGAAACGGGUGGUAAUGCCGGAUGCUCCGGUUGGAUGCAUGUCCUUCCGGGAAAGGUUCCAUCGGUAUGGGAUGGGGUCGCGUCCUAUCAGCUUGAUGGCGGGGUAACGGCCCACCAUGGCUUCGACGGGUAGCCGGCCUGAGAGGGCGACCGGCCACAUUGGGACUGAGAUACGGCCCAGACUCCUACGGGAGGCAGCAGUGGGGAAUAUUGCACAAUGGGCGCAAGCCUGAUGCAGCGACGCCGCGUGCGGGAUGGAGGCCUUCGGGUUGUAAACCGCUUUUGAUCGGGAGCAAGCCCUUCGGGGUGAGUGUACCUUUCGAAUAAGCACCGGCUAACUACGUGCCAGCAGCCGCGGUAAUACGUAGGGUGCAAGCGUUAUCCGGAAUUAUUGGGCGUAAAGGGCUCGUAGGCGGUUCGUCGCGUCCGGUGUGAAAGCCCAUCGCUUAACGGUGGGUCUGCGCCGGGUACGGGCGGGCUGGAGUGCGGUAGGGGAGACUGGAAUUCCCGGUGUAACGGUGGAAUGUGUAGAUA
Molecule: ribosomal RNA, 540 nt
Filed under: Bifidobacterium dentium
Lineage: Bacteria; Bacillati; Actinomycetota; Actinomycetes; Bifidobacteriales; Bifidobacteriaceae
Description: bacterial SSU rRNA
Rfam family: Bacterial small subunit ribosomal RNA
Source: RNAcentral